UCCAUACCAAAUGAUUAUAACAUUAUGCUCAAACAUAUAUAAGCCAUUUUCGCAUGGCUAUCCAAAAUUAUACAAAUCCAAAGGGUCCAUGACCCACUAUAAAAAGGGUAGUCCUAUACAUGCCAUUUUCAGAGUUCAACCAAAAGUGUACCAAAAGGGCUUUGAUAGUGUGGGCGACUUCGACUUCAAUAAUCCCGAGUCCGAUAGCUGACGAACCAAAAUCUAUAAAACAGAGAUUCAAAGAACGGAGUAAGCAUUUAAUGCUUAGUAAGUUUUAAGCAAGACAAAGUGUUCUCAAUCACUAUUAUUGGUCAUUCAUUUCAACUGUUCGAUGAAGUUAAUCUAGAGCUUCAUCUCGAUCUAUAAUAUCAUUAAACGCAACACUUGACUGCCACAUAUAUACUUUCGAAUAAUAAUGUCCUAGAUGGUCAAAUAUUUCCAAAGCACAUUCUCACAUUUGGAGUUAUAAUAUUAAUCACAUUUACCUACCUCUUUGAUACUGAUAAUUCACCUCGAAAUCACUCCACCGAUGAGUAAGUAAUACGUAUGUGAACAUCUUGAAUACAUAAUACUUAUUUGAUGGUAACUUAAUGCAGAUACUCAAUAUCAAAGUCUUACUUGAAUCCUAGCAUUUAGCCGUCGGGUCUUUAAAGCUCGGAUAUAGUACGAGCACGAAGCCUACGGACAUUAAUCAGGAUAAUACUCUCGCAUAAAGCCUGCGGGGUUUUAACCCGGAUAUAGCACUGACAUAAUUGCCCUUCGGGACUUAUCACAUUUAUACACUUUCACAUCCAUCACGUUGGCCACUCGGCCCUGUCACAUAUAUACACUUUCACAUUCAUCAUAUCGGCCAUUAGGCCUCAUCACAUAUAUACACUUUCACAUUCAUCACAUCGGCUAUUAGGCCUUAUCACAUAUAUACACUUUCACAUUCAUCACAUCGGCCAUUAGGCCUUAUCACAUAUAUACACUUUCACAUUCAUCACAUUGGCCAUUCGGCCUUAUCACAUAUAUACACUUUCACAUUCAUCACAUCGGCCAUUAGGCCUUAUCACAUAUAUAUACAUUCACAUCACAAUUAUCCAAAUAUACUUCACAUAUCACAUAUACUAUCAUGUAUACACUUUGUCUUGGCUGAAUCUACAUUAAUCAUUUCCCAAUGAAUAAUUCAAUUUCACGCCAUACUAUCAUUUCAUAUUCGAAUACUCAUAAACUUACAAUUUCACAAAUUUUAAUAUCAAAGAUCCAUCUAACACUCAUGUAUCGUUUUACAAUAUCACGAUUUAGAAUUCACGUCUGGGUUUAAUCAAUAGCUUAUGAGUAACUAAAACAAGUUUUAUCCAUGUUUACAACAAAAUCACAUAUUCACUACGAGCUGUUUUCCUGAGCAGUAGUCACUAAAUUAUUUAUAACUGGAGCUACAAAACUCCAAAUCACUUGCCGUUAAUUUUCCCCGAAUAUAGACUCGUAUAUCUUCCAUCCAUAAAAUUUUCAGAAUUUUAGGUUUGGCCAAUCAAUACCAGAUUUUUCUUAAAGUUUCCCCUGUUUCACUGUUUGACUAAUCUGACCACUCUUCACUACGAAUCAAAUUUAUCAUUUUACAGAAUUAAAAAUGUGUUGUAUUUGAUUUCAUUUGAAACUAGACUCAUUAAGGAGUCUAAGCAUAUAAAUUUUAUCUUAUAACCAUUUUUGUACAAUUUAUAAUGAUUUUCUAAAAACAGAACAGGGGAUUUCGGAGUCAUUCUGACACCGUCUCACACAACUUUAAAUAUCUCUUUAUAGGAAAUUUGUUUGCUCACAAGGUCUCUUUUAUAAGAAACUAGACUAAUUAAGCCUUGAUUACAUAUUUUAUUCAGCCUAUAAUUCCACACCAACAAUUUAUAGUGAUUUUCUAAAAUCACGUUACUGCUGCUGUCCAAAGCAAAUUAUUACAAUUUGCUCUUAACUUUCCAAGUCCAAACACAUAUGAACUUACCAUUUGAGUUUAAGACAUAUCAUGGCCACAUCAUAUCUUAUUAAAUCAACUCAUUAUGUCCUAUUAUGAUUGAAUUUACUCAACGUUUAAUCACUUAAAACUUACCUCGGAAGCGGUUGACGACUAGAUAUCCACGGCUAUUCGUCUACUUUCUCUUUUCCCCUAUCCGACUUUGAUCCUCUUUGCUCUUGGGCUUAAUUUAAACGAAUGAAUUUGUUUAAUCAUUUCGAACAUUAAAAGCUCUUUUAAAGCACUUAACCCUUAUACUCAAUAAUGAACCAAACCAUAUAGCUAAUUAUUUUAUCACAUCACCUCAAGCACAUAUAUUAACUAUCAUACACCCAAUUCACAUGCCAAGUUGCAAAUAAAAAAAAUGCAUACACACCAAUAAUUUAAUUACUCAUUUCAACCUUAUAGGGUAACUUCAAUGCAUUAUGUAUAUACCAUUUGCCAUACACGUACCACAUUUUUAACAAGCCGAAAUUACUCCUACAUAUUAUCCAUUAUAAUUAUUUCAUAGAUAUAAAACAUAGCUGGAAAAUCUUUAGCCUAAAUGCGUAUAAUAACACCCAAAUCAUCAACUAUUUUAACGAACAUGACACAUAAGAUUAACUAAAACUCCAUUCAAUUUUUAAGGUAUUAACCCUACUAAACUCAUACCAUGACCAUAUCUAAUCGAAUUCAAGUAGAGGAUUAAUUACAACCAUGUACACCAAUAUAUAAUUAUAACAUGUUUUGAUAUCUUAUAUAUCCCAUUCGGCCCUAACCACACAACUUAGCUUUUAUAAUAAACCUUAUCUUAACCGAAUGUACAUAUAUAUACUCAAAAUAUCAUUCGAUUUCAAAGGCAUAUUAACACCAUAUAACCGAAUGUUCAUAGACUAAUAUACAUAUACUCAUAAAUCCAACUUUAAAAACUCAUACUUAUACAUAGCAUAUAACCGAAAAUACUUCAUGAAUCCACCUACAUUUACAUUAUUAUCAUAUAUAGAAUUUGCAUUUACUAUCAAAUAACAACUUAACUUACUUUCAAUUAGGUAAUCAAAUACCUCAUACCCAAUCAUUUAACAACUAAAAUAAUAAACCACAACAUUUAAAUUCAUCUUAUUCUUCUCCCAUUUGACCGAAUGAACAUUUGUCUAUUGAUGCAUGAAAUUAAACCAUGGGUUAAAUAAGCUAUGCACUUAUCAAUCUAAUCUCAUAGUCAAUUAAAAAGAAAAUCACAAUGCAUACCUUAAACUAGGAUAGCCAUGGCCGAA
This 3234-nucleotide long non-coding RNA is filed under the name Gossypium barbadense (sea-island cotton). RNAcentral's name for it is "long non-coding RNA (GBAR_LNC012149)". The record is from RNAcentral. Lineage: Eukaryota; Viridiplantae; Streptophyta; Magnoliopsida; Malvales; Malvaceae.